This 70-nucleotide transfer RNA is filed under the name Urocitellus parryii (Arctic ground squirrel). Its description in RNAcentral is "Spermophilus parryii (Arctic ground squirrel) tRNA". It matches the Rfam family "tRNA". Rfam says of the family: Transfer RNA (tRNA) molecules are approximately 80 nucleotides in length. Their secondary structure includes four short double-helical elements and three loops (D, anti-codon, and T loops). Further hydrogen bonds mediate the characteristic L-shaped molecular structure. tRNAs have two regions of fundamental functional importance: the anti-codon, which is responsible for specific mRNA codon recognition, and the 3' end, to which the tRNAs corresponding amino acid is attached (by aminoacyl-tRNA synthetases). tRNAs cope with the degeneracy of the genetic code in two manners: having more than one tRNA (with a specific anti-codon) for a particular amino acid; and 'wobble' base-pairing, i.e. permitting non-standard base-pairing at the 3rd anti-codon position. The record is from Rfam by way of RNAcentral. Lineage: Eukaryota; Metazoa; Chordata; Mammalia; Rodentia; Sciuridae. RNAcentral also lists the same sequence under 2 other names.
GGGGCUGUAGCUCAGUGGUAGAGCACUUGCCUAGCAAGUGUGAGGCACUUGGGUUCGAUCCUCAGCACCA